This 347-nucleotide ribosomal RNA is filed under the name uncultured Nitrososphaerota archaeon. Its description in RNAcentral is "bacterial SSU rRNA". It matches the Rfam family "Archaeal small subunit ribosomal RNA", at positions 339 to 688 of the family's 1478-position model. The record is from RNAcentral. Lineage: Archaea; Thermoproteati; Nitrososphaerota.
GCGAGAAAACUUUGCAAUGUGCGAAAGCACGACAAGGUUAAUCCGAGUGGUUUCUGCUAAAGGAACCUUUUGUCGGUCCUAGAAACACUGAUGAAUAAGGGGGUGGGCAAGUUCUGGUGUCAGCCGCCGCGGUAAAACCAGCACCUCAAGUGGUCAGGAUGAUUAUUGGGCCUAAAGCAUCUGUAGCCUGCUUUGUAAGUUUCGGUAAAUCCAUAUGCUCAACAUAUGGGCUGCCGGGAAUACUGCAGAGCUAGGGAGUGGGAGAGGUAGACGGUACUCGGUAGGAAGGGGUAAAAUCCUUUGAUCUAUUGAUGACCACCUGUGGCGAAGGCGGUCUACCAGAACAC